This is a long non-coding RNA of Vigna radiata var. radiata (mung bean), 491 nucleotides long. RefSeq lists it as uncharacterized. Lineage: Eukaryota; Viridiplantae; Streptophyta; Magnoliopsida; Fabales; Fabaceae. The transcript is spliced from 4 exons. The record is from RefSeq and is a predicted model, not a curated record.
AAAGCUAAUGAAAAUCUGAGAAGUAUUAUUCUGUGUGUUUCUGUUCUGUCUGUGCUGCGUCUUUAACCUUCCAUCGUCUGAGCAGUGUGCUUCCCUGUCGGCGUUCGGUGGUGAGCUGGUGGAACCCUAGGAGUGUGCUGCGUCUUUAACCAAAGUUUAGGUUACCGCUGUUUAAAACUGCUGCCGAGGCUACCACUGUUGAAGGUUCUCUGCUGUCGAAGGUUCACCGUCGUCGAAGGCUCGCUGCUGUCGAAGUCUCGCCGCUAUCGAAGGCUUUGCCGCACUCUGCGUCGCCGAGGUUCUACCACCACCUACGAAGAUUUUGAGAACACUUAUCUUUAGCUAGAAAAAAGAAGCAAAUCUGUAACCCUAAGACAUCUGGUAACGAUUGCUUGUACGUGGAGAGAGCAUCUGGGGUUCUUCCAUCAUCAGUGGCCAAGUGCUACGGUUGAAGCUUACAAGUUUCUGCAAUGGAGAAUCAGAAUACAAAG